GUGUUAAUCAGCUCAAUUAGACUCCCUUCCUUAUCACACGGACAGAGGGCUUUCUGUAUCCUGGGGUUUCUUGUCUUGGUGUACCGGAAGAAUUGGAUCAUGGGUGGGCUUGGAGAAUGAGUGCAAGGUUCUAUUGAGUAGAAGUAGCCCUCAGCAGAUGGGGGAGCCAGAAGGGAGAUGGUUUUUGCCUGCAGUCAGGCCACUUGGCCGCCCCAGCUCUCCUCUGACUGCUCCAGCCAAACUCCGCCUCAUUCUGCCAGUCGAUGGCCAGCAUGUCGGCAUCUGUUGAUGUGCUCUUCUGCUGGCAUGCUCCCUCGACGUUCUCUCAAUAUCCGGCCGCCUGUGUCUUCUUCUGCUGAUCUGCUCCUCUCCACAUCCAGCGGCUUGUGUGUCUGCCUGAUGAGGUCAGGAAGUGGCUAAGAAGAGAUCCAUGAAGAUUAACAUUCAGUGCUCAAUUUCUGAAGGAAACAGGGAGUGAAAGGCCGUGGAAGAAAACAGGGCUGCCACGAACAUGCUCUUGGCUGUUUGAAAAGAUCCAGCGCAGCUUGAACUUCAAAAAUAACUCCAUUCACUAUGGUUGCAGUUGGGCUUGGGGAAUUUCUCACAAUCAAAAGCAGCUGCUUCAUCUCAUUUAGCCAUUAGGCUGAGCUCCACAGGCUCGCUGCAGGAUCUUAGAGCCUACAAGGCCCUGCUAAGAGUAGCCGCGUUUUCCAGCAUGCAGUAGAUCAGCGAGUGUUUACAUUUGUGUUUGGAAUGCUCAUGAGUCCUUUGGGGCAAAGACUGAGUCAUUAAUCAGAGCUUUCUAUGAACGUAUUGCUGCCCAAGCCUCUGUGAAUGUGAGUACGGCCUUGUCCCCUGAGUGACGCUGAAAGAGAGUGAAGCACAUGUGCUCCAUAGGACUGCCACGGCCACCCCUCUCAUUCACUUUUCCAUUCAGCGCUGAGACUAAGUUUAACUCAUUUUUCUUUUGUUGUGAAAAGAGAAUGCACACAAAAAUUCAAAUGUUACCAAAUCGAUAUCAGGUUGGAAGCUGAUUCCCCUUGCCUGAGUCCGGGCUGUGUUUGGCGAUACUUGUAAAGAAUGGAAUCUGGCUGAGGUGGAGGUGUGUGACUUUGAGGACUAGGUCCAAAGAAGGCAUUGUGGUUUCCAUCUUGACUGCUCUUUCCCUUGGAUAGCUGACUCUUAGGGAAGCCACAUGCCACACCAUGAGCAGCUCUGCGGAGAGACCCAUGCAGCAAGGAAAUGAGGCUUCCAGUCAAGAGCUGCAUGACUGAAUGAACUUGUUACCAAAACACCAGGGGUUUGGUCCAGGUCCUUCUGCUCACCGCAUGGAAAGCUCAUCACUGAGAUGACAAGUAUUGCCAAGGAAGGAUUUAAUCAGGUGCUGCAACCGAGGAGAUGGGAGCUCAGUCUCAAAUCCAUCUUGCUGACCUACUAAAACGAGGGAUUUGUAUAGCAGGGAAGAAAUGAAACAAUGUGUAAGAAAACAGCAACUAGGGAGGGGCACGGAAGCAAUCAUGAUGAAUGAGGGGGCAGCAUCUCAUUGUCUGAAUGCGGUGAUCUGGCCUUAGCUGCCUUCCCGCGGGGCAGGCCUCGGGACUGCAGCCCACCAUGCCUGAGCCUUCCCCCUCCUCCGUGGAUUCCUGUGCAGCCGGAGCCUCCCCGACGAGCGCCACCCCCUGCUCCAUGGCGCCCAGUCCCAUCGACCGCCUAAGGGCUGAAGAGUGCGGGCGCAAGGCACCGGGACUGGCAGGCAGCUCCACCUGCAGCCCCGGUGCGGGAUCCACUGGGUGAAGCCAGCUGGACUCCUGAGUCUGGUGGGGCCUUGGAGAACUUUUAUGUCUAGCUCAGGGAUUGUAAAUACACCGAUCGGUACUCUGUAUCUAGCUCAAGGUUUGUAAACACACCAAUCAGCACCCUGUGUCUAGCUCAAGGUUUGUGAGUGCACCAAUCGACACUCUGUAUCUAGCUGCUCUGGUGGGGCCUUAGAGAACCUUUGCGUGGAUACUCUGUAUCUAACUAAUCUGAUAGGGACGUGGAGAACCUUUAUAUCUAGCUCAGGGAUUGUAAACGCACCAAUCAGCACCCUGUCAAAACAGACCACUUGGCUCUACCAAUCAGCAGGAUGUGGGUGGGGCCAGAUAAGAGAAUAAAAGCAGGCUGCCGGAGCCAGCAGUGGCAACCCACUGGGGUCUCCUUCCACACUGUGGAAAGUUUGUUCUUUCGCUCUUUGCAAUAAAUCUUGCUGCUGCUCACUUUUUGGGUCCACACUGCUCUUAUGAGCUGUAACACUCACCGCGAAAAUCUGUAGCUUCAUUCCUGAAGCCAGCGAGCCCACGAGCCCACCGGGAAGAACGAACAACUCCAGACGUGCCGCCUUAAGAGCUGUAACACUCACCGCGAAGGUCUGCAGCUUCACUCCUGAGCCAGCGAGACCACUAACCCACCAGAAGGAAGAAACUCCGAACAUCAGAAGGAACAAACUCCAGACGCGCCACCUUAAGAGCUGUAACACUCACUGCGAGGGUCCGCGACUUCAUUCUUGAAGUCAGUGAAACCAAGAAUCCACCAAUUCCGGACACACUAUCACCCAUGAAGAGUAGUUACUGUAACAUUGUAGCACACUGCAUUACUCAGGUGUUUGUGGGGUUGCUGAUGUGAACAAACCUGCAUGGCCAGUUGCAUAAAAGUAUAGCACACACGAUUAUGUACAGCCCAUAAUACGUGAUAGUGAUAAUAAAUGACUGUUACUGGUUUAUGU
This is a long non-coding RNA of Homo sapiens (human), 2761 nucleotides long. Ensembl annotates it as long intergenic non-protein coding RNA 1447. The record is from Ensembl. NCBI's taxonomy places the organism in Eukaryota, Metazoa, Chordata, Mammalia, Primates, Hominidae.